Molecule: ribosomal RNA, 475 nt
Filed under: uncultured organism
Description: partial 16S ribosomal RNA
Rfam family: Bacterial small subunit ribosomal RNA
Source: RNAcentral
GUACACUCCUACGGGAGGCAGCAGUGGGGAAUUUUGGACAAUGGGAGAAAGCCUGAUCCAGCAAUGCCGCGUGAGUGAAGAAGGCCUUCGGGUAGUAAAGCUCUUUUGUCAGGGAAGAAACGGUGAGAGCUAAUAUCUCUUGCUAAUGACGGUACCUGAAGAAUACGCACCGGCUAACUACGUGCCAGCAGCCGCGGUAAUACGUAGGGUGCAAGCGUUAAUCGGAAUUACUGGGCGUAAAGCGUGCGCAGGCGGUUUUGUAAGUCUGAUGUGAAAUCCCCGGGCUCAACCUGGGAAUUGCAUUGGAGACUGCAAGGCUAGAAUCUGGCAGAGGGGGGUAGAAUUCCACGUGUAGCAGUGAAAUGCGUAGAGAUGUGGAGGAACACCGAUGGCGAAGGCAGCCCCCUGGGUCAAGAUUGACGCUCAUGCACGAAAGCGUGGGGAGCAAACAGGAUUAGAUACCCUGGUAGUCCCA